RNAcentral lists this ribosomal RNA (253 nucleotides) under uncultured bacterium. RNAcentral's name for it is "partial 16S ribosomal RNA". It matches the Rfam family "Bacterial small subunit ribosomal RNA", at positions 524 to 776 of the family's 1533-position model. The record is from RNAcentral.
UACGUAGGGGGCGAGCGUUGUCCGGAAUCAUUGGGCGUAAAGCGCGCGUAGGCGGUAGAGCACGUCGGCCGUGAAAGCGCCGGGCUCAACUCGGCGAGGUCGGGCGUUACGGCUUUACUAGAGGCCGGUAGAGGGUCGUGGAAUUCCGGGUGUAGUGGUGGAAUGCGUAGAGCUCCGGAGGAACACCAGAGGCGAAGGCGGCGGCCUGGGCCGGACCUGACGCUGAGGCGCGAAAGCGUGGGGAGCGAUCCGG